Molecule: ribosomal RNA, 975 nt
Filed under: Yarrowia lipolytica
Lineage: Eukaryota; Fungi; Ascomycota; Dipodascomycetes; Dipodascales
Description: SSU rRNA
Rfam family: Eukaryotic small subunit ribosomal RNA
Source: RNAcentral
UCUGGUKGAUCCUGCCAGUAGUCAUAUGCUUGUCUCAAAGACUAAGCCAUGCAUGUCUAAGUAUAAACAAUUAUACAGUGAAACUGCGAACGGCUCAUUAAAUCAGUUAUCGUUUAUUUGAUAGUUUUCUACAUGGAUAACCGUGAUAACUUCAGAACUAAUACAUGACAGCCUUCUGGCGUAUAUAUUAGAUACAAACCAACAGUAUGGUGAUUCAUAAUAUCUUGUCGAACCGAUCUUCGGUGUAUCAUUCAAAUUUCUGCCCUAUCAACUGUCGAUGGUAGGAUCGUGGCCUACCAUGGUAACAACGGGUAACGGGGAAUCAGGGUUCUAUUCCGGAGAGGGAGCCUGAGAAACGGCUACCACAUCCAAGGAAGGCAGCAGGCGCGCAAAUUACCCAAUCCUGACACAGGGAGGUAGUGACAAUAUAUAACGAUCCGGGGCUCUUUGAGUUUCGGAAUUGGAAUGAGUACAAUUUAAACACCUUAACGAGGAACAAUUGGAGGGCAAGUCUGGUGCCAGCAGCCGCGGUAAUUCCAGCUCCAAUAGCGUAUAUUAAUGUUGUUGCAGUUAAAAAGCUCGUAGUUGAAAUUGGGCGGGCUAUUAGUUUAGGCCGCUUCAGGAAGAACUUCUUCCAGUUACUUUGAAAAAAUUAGAGUGUUCAACGCAGGUUUCGCCUGAAUAUAUUAGCAUGGAAUAACAUAACACGACGAGGGUCCAUUUUGUUGGCUUGCAAACCCACGUAAUGAUUAAUAGGGACAGUCGGGGGCGUCAGUAUUGUGUUGUCAGAGGUGAAAUUCUUGGAUUUACACAAGACUAACUACUGCGAAGCAUUCGCCAAGGAUGUAUUCAUUAAUCAAGAACGAAAGUUAGGGGAUCAAAGAUGAUCAGAUACCGUCGUAGUCUUAACCGUAAACUAUGCCGACUGAGAAUGGGUACCGCUUAUACGGUAUACGCGYCUACGAGAAAUCAAAG